UGCCUUACACAUGCAAGUCGAACGGUAACGCGGGGCAACCUGGCGACGAGUGGCGAACGGGUGAGUAAUAUAUCGGAACGUGCCCAGUAGUGGGGGAUAGCCCGGCGAAAGCCGGAUUAAUACCGCAUGAGACCUGAGGGUGAAAGCGGGGGAUCGCAAGACCUCGCGCUAUUGGAGCGGCCGAUAUCAGAUUAGGUAGUUGGUGGGGUAAAGGCCUACCAAGCCGACGAUCUGUAGCUGGUCUGAGAGGACGACCAGCCACACUGGGACUGAGACACGGCCCAGACUCCUACGGGAGGCAGCAGUGGGGAAUUUUGGACAAUGGGCGCAAGCCUGAUCCAGCCAUGCCGCGUGCGGGAAGAAGGCCUUCGGGUUGUAAACCGC
Molecule: ribosomal RNA, 384 nt
Filed under: uncultured organism
Description: bacterial SSU rRNA
Rfam family: Bacterial small subunit ribosomal RNA
Source: RNAcentral